CCUACGGGGUGCAGCAGUAGGGAAUCUUGCACAAUGGGCGAAAGCCUGAUGGAGCAACGCCGCGUGCAGGAUGAAGGCCUUCGGGUUGUAAACUGCUUUUAUAAGCGAGAAAUAUGAUGGUAACUUAUGAAUAAGGAUCGGCUAACUACGUGCCAGCAGCCGCGGUCAUACGUAGGAUCCGAGCAUUAUCCGGAGUGACUGGGUGUAAAGAGUUGCGUAGGUGGCAUAAUAAGGAGCUAGUGAAAUCUGGUGGCUCAACCAUUCAGACUGUUAGCUAAACUGUUAAGCUCGAGACCGUUAGAGGUAACUGGAAUUUGUGGUGUAGGGGUGAAAUCCGUAGAUAUUAGGAGGAACACCGAUUGCGUAGGCAGGUUACUGGGACGGUACUGACACUGAGGCACGAAAGCGUGGGGAGCAAACAGGAUUAGAUACCCUAGUAGUC
This 442-nucleotide ribosomal RNA is filed under the name uncultured bacterium. RNAcentral describes it as "partial 16S ribosomal RNA". It matches the Rfam family "Bacterial small subunit ribosomal RNA", at positions 338 to 795 of the family's 1533-position model. The record is from RNAcentral.